GUGACUCCUACGGGAGGCAGCAGUGGGGAAUAUUGCACAAUGGGGGAAACCCUGAUGCAGCCAUGCCGCGUGUGUGAAGAAGGCCUUCGGGUUGUAAAGCACUUUCAGUAGGGAGGAAGGUAGUGUAGUUAACACCUGCACUAUUUGACGUUACCUACAGAAGAAGCACCGGCUAACUCCGUGCCAGCAGCCGCGGUAAUACGGAGGGUGCGAGCGUUAAUCGGAAUUACUGGGCGUAAAGCGCAUGCAGGCGGCCUGUUAAGUCAGAUGUGAAAGCCCGGGGCUUAACCUCGGAAUUGCAUUUGAAACUGGCAGGCUAGAGUCUUGUAGAGGGGGUAGAAUUUCAGGUGUAGCGGUGAAAUGCGUAGAGAUCUGAAGGAAUACCAGUGGCGAAGGCGGCCCCCUGGACAAAGACUGACGCUCAGAUGCGAAAGCGUGGGGAGCAAACAGGAUUAGAUACCCUUGGAG
RNAcentral lists this ribosomal RNA (468 nucleotides) under uncultured bacterium. Its description in RNAcentral is "bacterial SSU rRNA". It matches the Rfam family "Bacterial small subunit ribosomal RNA", at positions 332 to 793 of the family's 1533-position model. The record is from RNAcentral.